GAAGAACACGGGCGGAAAGAGAAAACACGCUUUUUUGGGACAUUUAAGAAAGAACAGUGAGUUAAAGACAUUACCAAUCACUUUGAGAAAGACGGUUGUCGAAAUGCGUUAGUGCGGAUGUUUAUGAGAGAUCUUUUGUUUUACUAUAUAUAUUUUUACCAAUAUUAUAGUUUGUUCUGGCUACCUUUACCAACCCCCCUAUUUUUGGUGUUUACUGAUAACCUAAGGGGGUGUUCUAGUAUCCAGCAGAAUAUUCCGGCAUCAAAUUCCAGCACUUGAUCUCAGCAACCAACUAUACAUAUCCCAAGGAGCUUAAAGUCUGAGCCCACUAGAAACGGCUCAGUACCACGUGAGUGGGACCCAUUUGCUUUUUUUCGUUUUAAAGUAUUUUAUACAGAUUUCACUAUGAUCUGUUGUUUCUUGUUUUUUUAGGUUAUACCAUGUUUUAUGGUAACCUGCAUGUGUGUGAUACCCAAUUGUUUAUUCACUUUUAGUAUUGCUCAUCUUGUGUCAUUACAGAGAGAGCAUAUCUGAAUCAUAUCAGACUGGUCCCACCCGUACGGUCAGUCCAGAUCCAAAAUGCCAGCAAGUUCCCUCUGCAGAGACACAGCAACCCCAGACGAUCGUUUCAAACUUUUUAGGCAUCAUCAGUGAGGCAUAGCUGAUAUCUCUCGAGGCACCGUGAGCAAGUGGUCUGUGGCAAACCUAGCCACUUUAGGUCAUAUUGCAGAACAUUUAAAGGUUGUCUGUGUUAACCUGGUGUAAAAAAUGUAUUCAUGUGUUUUAGAAUAGAGAGCAUGCAUAGACUAACAACCGUGAAUAAAAAUGUCAGUUGACUCCUGGAG
Non-coding RNA from Pelobates cultripes (western spadefoot toad), 845 nucleotides. NCBI's taxonomy places the organism in Eukaryota, Metazoa, Chordata, Amphibia, Anura, Pelobatidae. The record is from the annotation of a GenBank genome assembly.